UUUGAUCGAGUUCUUUACUGUUGGAUUGAAGCUCUGUCCUCCUCUCCAUCGUCGUGCCCACAGGGAGGUCGCCGAUUAUAUUUUAAGAUGUUGUUCUCGAGUUUGAUCCCAUUGAGAGUCGAGAAUCAUCUUAAGAUGGUGCACUGUAUAUCUCCGAUCUGUAAAUCUUUUUAGUUCAAUAAUAAAUUUUAGUUGUCAGUUCAAUUGGAUUGCAAUCGGUUCUCGUGGCAAAAGAAUCAUAUUACAUAUUCCCAUUAGAUAAUAGAAGGGGGUUUCUUCUCUCC
This 284-nucleotide long non-coding RNA is filed under the name Elaeis guineensis (African oil palm). Its description in RNAcentral is "long non-coding RNA (EGUI_LNC004649)". The record is from RNAcentral. Lineage: Eukaryota; Viridiplantae; Streptophyta; Magnoliopsida; Arecales; Arecaceae.